CCUGGUAGUCCACGCCCUAAACGAUGUCUACUAGUUGUCGGGUCUUAAUUGACUUGGUAACGCAGCUAACGCGUGAAGUAGACCGCCUGGGGAGUACGGUCGCAAGAUUAAAACUCAAAGGAAUUGACGGGGACCCGCACAAGCGGUGGAUGAUGUGGAUUAAUUCGAUGCAACGCGAAAAACCUUACCUACCCUUGACAUGGCUGGAAUCCCCGAGAGAUUGGGGAGUGCUCGAAAGAGAACCAGUACACAGGUGCUGCAUGGCUGUCGUCAGCUCGUGUCGUGAGAUGUUGGGUUAAGUCCCGCAACGAGCGCAACCCUUGUCAUUAGUUGCUACGAAAGGGCACUCUAAUGAGACUGCCGGUGACAAACCGGAGGAAGGUGGGGAUGACGUCAAGUCCUCAUGGCCCUUAUGGGUAGGGCUUCACACGUCAUACAAUGGUACAUACAGAGCGCCGCCAACCCGCGAGGGGGAGCUAAUCGCAGAAAGUGUAUCGUAGUCCGGAUUGUAGUCUGCAACUCGACUGCAUGAAGUUGGAAUCGCUAGUAAUCGCGGAUCAGCAUGUCGCGGUGAAUACGUUCCCGGGCCUUGUACACACC
This 600-nucleotide ribosomal RNA is filed under the name uncultured Janthinobacterium sp. RNAcentral's name for it is "bacterial SSU rRNA". It matches the Rfam family "Bacterial small subunit ribosomal RNA", at positions 786 to 1391 of the family's 1533-position model. Lineage: Bacteria; Pseudomonadati; Pseudomonadota; Betaproteobacteria; Burkholderiales; Oxalobacteraceae. The record is from RNAcentral.